AAGACGUAGGGGGCGAGCGUUGCCCGGAUUCACUGGGCGUAAAGCGGGUGCAGGCGGCCGGGUAAGUCCCGUGUGAAAGCCCACGGCUCAACCGUGGGACGUCGCGGGAAACUGCCCGGCUUGAGGGCAGCAGAGGGUGGUGGAAUUCCCGGUGUAGCGGUGAAAUGCGUAGAGAUCGGGAGGAACGCCAGUGGCGAAGGCGGCCACCUGGGCUGUCCCUGACGCUCAGACCCGAAAGCUGGGGGAGCGAACGGGAUUAGAUACCCCGGUAGUCCCAGCCCUAAACGAUGCUCACUAGGUGUCGGGGGGUCACUCCCUCGGUGCCGAAGCUAACGCAUUAAGUGAGGUUUCUGGGGAGUACGGGUUUAAGGCU
This 373-nucleotide ribosomal RNA is filed under the name uncultured bacterium. Its description in RNAcentral is "bacterial SSU rRNA". It matches the Rfam family "Bacterial small subunit ribosomal RNA", at positions 522 to 895 of the family's 1533-position model. The record is from RNAcentral.